This 473-nucleotide ribosomal RNA is filed under the name uncultured bacterium. RNAcentral describes it as "partial 16S ribosomal RNA". It matches the Rfam family "Bacterial small subunit ribosomal RNA", at positions 28 to 523 of the family's 1533-position model. The record is from RNAcentral.
GACGAACGCUGGCGGCGUGCUUAACACAUGCAAGUCGAACGGUAAGGCCCUUCGGGGUACACGAGUGGCGAACGGGUGAGUAACACGUGGGUGAUCUGCCCUGCACUUCGGGAUAAGCCUGGGAAACUGGGUCUAAUACCGGAUAGGACUCCGGACUGCAUGGUCUGGGGUGGAAAGCUUUUGCGGUGUGGGAUGGGCCCGCGGCCUAUCAGCUUGUUGGUGGGGUGAUGGCCUACCAAGGCGACGACGGGUAGCCGGCCUGAGAGGGUGACCGGCCACACUGGGACUGAGAUACGGCCCAGACUCCUACGGGAGGCAGCAGUGGGGAAUAUUGCACAAUGGGCGAAAGCCUGACGCAGCAACGCCGCGUGCGGGAUGACGGCCUUCGGGUUGUAAAGCUCUUUUACCCGGGACGAUAAUGACUGUACCGGGAGAAUAAGCCCCGGCUAACUUCGUGCCAGCAGCCGCCGUAA